UGGGGAAUAUUGCACAAUGGGCGAAAGCCUGAUGCAGCGACGCCGCGUGAGGGAUGACGGCCUUCGGGUUGUAAACCUCUUUCAGCAGGGACGAAGCGCAAGUGACGGUACCUGCAGAAGAAGCACCGGCUAACUACGUGCCAGCAGCCGCGGUAAUACGUAGGGUGCAAGCGUUGUCCGGAAUUACUGGGCGUAAAGAGUUCGUAGGCGGUUUGUCGCGUCGUUUGUGAAAACCAGCAGCUCAACUGCUGGCUUGCAGGCGAUACGGGCAGACUUGAGUACUGCAGGGGAGACUGGAAUUCCUGGUGUAGCGGUGAAAUGCGCAGAUAUCAGGAGGAACACCGGUGGCGAAGGCGGGUCUCUGGACAGUAACUGACGCUGAGGAACGAAAGCGUGGGUAGCGAACAGG
This 409-nucleotide ribosomal RNA is filed under the name Pseudomonas sp. Its description in RNAcentral is "partial 16S ribosomal RNA". It matches the Rfam family "Bacterial small subunit ribosomal RNA", at positions 355 to 776 of the family's 1533-position model. Lineage: Bacteria; Pseudomonadati; Pseudomonadota; Gammaproteobacteria; Pseudomonadales; Pseudomonadaceae. The record is from RNAcentral. RNAcentral also lists the same sequence under 2 other names.